RNAcentral lists this ribosomal RNA (253 nucleotides) under uncultured bacterium. Its description in RNAcentral is "partial 16S ribosomal RNA". It matches the Rfam family "Bacterial small subunit ribosomal RNA", at positions 524 to 776 of the family's 1533-position model. The record is from RNAcentral.
UACGUAGGGGGCAAGCGUUGUCCGGAUUUAUUGGGCGUAAAGAGCGUGUAGGCGGCCUGAAAGGUCAGCUGUGAAAACUCGAGGCUCAACCUCGAGACGUCGGUUGAAACCAUCUGGCUAGAGUCCGGAAGAGGAGUGUGGAAUUCCCGGUGUAGCGGUGAACUGCGCAGAUAUCGGGAGGAACACCUGUGGCGAAAGCGGCUCACUGGACCACAACUGACGCUGAGGCGCGAAAGCUAGGGGAGCAAACAGG